This 4126-nucleotide unclassified non-coding RNA is filed under the name Hevea brasiliensis (rubber tree). Lineage: Eukaryota; Viridiplantae; Streptophyta; Magnoliopsida; Malpighiales; Euphorbiaceae. The record is from RNAcentral.
ACAAAAUAGCUGGAUUUGAGGAGUUGAAGUUGGAGGAAAUUGAACAACUAAAAUUUAGUUUUGGGACUGGGCAAGAACCUAGUUCUCUGCCAGAGGUGCCAAUAAAUAUGGAAAAUCAUACUGAGAUGGAAGAGGCAUAUGAUGCCUCAGUUAAGUUUGAACCAGAGAUUGUAGAUACAGUUGGUGGACAGCAACUUACAACUGUUUGUGUAUGGUGUGGGGUGGAGUUCAGCCAUGAGGCUGUAGAUUCUGAAGUGCAGUCGGAUUCAGUUGGUUAUAUGUGUCCGAUCUGCAAGGCAAGAAUCUCUGGGCAGCUAAACGUGUUGGGUGAUGGUUGCUCGUGAAUUCUUUAGGUGUGGGGUAAUUUCAAUUCCUUUAGAGCAGUCUUGCUAAUUAGGAGUCUUUUUUUUCCCCCAUUUUUCUGUGUUGUUUAUUUUAACCAUGAAAAAAGGAAUAUAGUUGUUUUAGUGUGCCUUCCGUAAAUAUAAGUGAUUGUGAUGCAAAAUAUUAUAAAUGUGAUAUAUAAUAAAAAUUAUUACUUGUAUCUUUUGACAUAUGAUCCUUAUCAAAAUAAAAAAAUUUUUGGUAGAGAUAAAUUGAUAAUAGAUAUUGAGUACUGCUAUUUGAUAUUCUGCAUGCGGUGAUGCAAAAUGUGAAAAUAGAUGGAUCUGCUGAUGUGUAAGAGUAACUUUAAAUAUAUAUUAAAAGUUUAUAUAAUUCUGUUGACUUUUAAAUGGCACUGUUAAAGGUCAUGUAGUUUAGACUUGAUACAUGUAGGCGACUGCAAAUCGUUAGGUGUUGUGUGCUCCUGAUGUUCUAGGAGUGUGAGUGCAUAAUCUUUUGAUAUGUAGAUAUGGAAAAUACAGAGUGAUGUGGUAAUGGUAGCUAUUAAAGCAGCAUAGCCGCAUUCCUAGGUAUUGAAAAAAACUGAUACUGGUGUUUUUUUGUUGUAAUUGCUUAUUUCUGUUUCCUGCUUGGCAAUAAGAUUUAUUUAUUUAUAGUUAUGUUUUGCCGUUGAAUGUUGAUAGAACAUUUAGAGAUUGGAAUAAACUAAUUGAAAAGUUUCCCUAGUGUAUGACAUGAUUGUAGCAAAUAUACAAUUAUGGAAAUCACCUCUUUGAGUUGCAUUCUCCUCUUUGAGUUGCAUUCUCCUCAUCUGUUGUGUCUGUGUCACAUAGGUUACUACUGUUCUCUUGAUGAUGCAGUGAAUCCAUGAUCAUCGUUUAAGCUAAUUCUGUCUUACAGAAAACAAUCCAAUGAAAUUUAGGUUUCUUAUCUCAUACAAAUGGAGUUCAAGCAGGCUUUGGUUAUCAAGUCUUGUGUGGUAAACUGACUUUUUGUGCUGUGCGCUAUUGUAAAAUAUAAUCAAAUGGCAAAAGAGCAAGAAAAACAAAAGACACAAGUUUACCAAAUGAAUACUGAGACAUUCCAAUCACAGUAUAUCUGGUUUCUUUGAGAUUCAAUUUCAUAUUAACCGCGAUCCAGAACUUUGAAGAACAUAUCCCAUCUUUUGUUUUGAAGUCUUUGACAAUGAUAAUGUUACAAGUCUUGUGUCAAACACAAUGAAUGCUGCCAAUUCUAGCCUAACCAUGCACAUGCCAUCAUGAACGCCAUUGGUAUUUCUUUUACUCAUUUAUUUGUCUGUUUUUAUAAAUAAAUUUUGUCCUAUUUUAGGGUGGUUGAUUGUUGUGCUGACUGUUAAUAUGUUAUGCCCAUUUUAUGUUGGCAGCUGAAGCUGGAUGGAAGAUGUUUAUGGUGAAGUAUUGCUGAAGUUUUGAAACAUGAAGUUGAUCACUAUAUCUUAAUGUAUGAAUGUGUGUGUAUGUUCUCGCUGGAGCCUGGAGGUUACCUCUCAAUCGUUAGAUUUGAUGGAUAUUUCAUCCUUGUAUCUGUAAAGACUGACAAUGAGGGCUAGUUGGAUGUAAAAGUUAUGUAUCAUAAUAUGUUUUUCAUUCUUUAUUUAGCAGUUGCUUUUGUUGUGUUGUGUGCAAAUGGUAGUUGGAUAAUUAACAUUGAGGCGAGUACUGGACAAGGAGUUCUCUUUCGCCUUGCUUCCUCUGAAGUCGCUAUUGCGCUUCAACAAUCAUCAUGUGGUGGUCAUUCGGUUCAGGCGGUAGCUUGAUCUUUUUAAGAAAGCAAGAUAUUGCACCGUGGGAUCCAAACAGGUUUUUCUUAAAAAGUUUGUGACGAGAUUCUGAUGAUAAUGUUGUUCCACAUGUGCGGAGACGAAGAUGAAGUGGAAUCAACAGGCCAAAGUCAGUAAAAGCAAUUAAGCUGAUCUGUCUUCGUCGGCCAUUGAAUAAAGGGUAGGGAAUUCGAUUCUCGCAAUAAUGGUGUGGAAGAAUAAAGGGACGAAUCAAAAAAAAAGGGAGGAGGAGAAAAGGUGUAGAAGAAAGGACAGAGGGACAGCAAGAACGUGGCAGAAGAGUGAGAGUUUAGGUAGGCACCAGGAAUCUACAAUGCUCAUACAUUCUAUGUACUCGAAGAUUUUUCUUGGAUGUUAUUGAUAGACAUGUUUUCUGGCAGUGAUACCAUUAUCAAUGUCUAAUUAGACAAAAUAGUUUGCUCUGGAAAUUUCAUUAAAAACUUGUCAACCAAAUCAUUCCAAAUAUUCUUGCCCAUUUGUUCAGACAAGCUCUAUUGAUAUGUUCCAUUAAUCUUUUCAGUAUACCUCUUCUAUAUCCUCUAAUUGCAAGGUCCAACCUGAGGGCCUGGAAAUAUUUUGACUUAUGAUAGGAACUAGAAUAAUCAAAUGCCGCUCUUGUCAUCAACGUUCAUGGGUAGCAACAACUGCGGAAACAUACCAAUGCGUAGGCUGUAAAAGCGUGAGUUCACUUCCAGGCGAGGAACAGUCGAGCCGAGUUUUCCUGAUUAGAGACCGCAUCCAAUAACAACAUUUCACGAGCAACUGCUAAUUUGAAAGAGGAAAUUCUGCCCCGUAGCUUGGCCUCCUCCGAGAGGCCAACAAGAAAGCGUGCACUUCUUUGUGGAGUGAGUUACAAGAAGAAAUACAAGCUGAAGGGAACUGUAAAUGAUGUGAAGAACAUGAGAGAUUUGCUGAUCACUGACUUCAGAUUUCCUGAAGAGUGUAUUCGACAACUUACAGAUGAGGAAACAAACCCUGAACUAAAACCAACGAGGAAGAACAUUGAGAAAGCCUUGCAGUGGCUUGUAGAGGGCUGCCGUUCUGGCGACUCAUUGGUGUUUUACUUUGCUGGACAUGGAGCACAAAAGAAUGACAACGACAGGGAUGAAAUUGAUGGACUUGAUGAAACAAUUUGUCCAACUGAUUUCCAAGUGAAGGGGAUGAUCGUUGAUGAUUAUAUCAAUUCUGUAAUUGUUAGGCCACUGGUGGCAGGCGUCACUCUUCAUGCCAUUGUUGAUGCUUGUCAUAGUGCAACAAUGCUUGAUCUGCCAUAUGUGUGCAAUGCAAAAGAGUAAGUCAUCAUUAAUUGUCCUGGAUAUUAAGUAUUAUAGCAAUUAGCAAUAACUAUGUUUCCCUGUCUCUGGAUUUAUUUGUAUAGGAAGAGGUGGGUGGAUAAUAAUCCUCCAUCAGCGGACUAUAAGGGCACAAGUGGUGGACUGGCCAUUUGUAUUAGUGCCUGUAGAGACGAUCAAGAUGUUGUUGAUUCUUCGACUUUAUGUGGAAGGGCAACCCUGACCCAUAAUUUGAUCCAAGAGAUGAAGAAAAACCCUAGAUUGACAUAUGGUGCUCUAAUAACUUCUGUACAGAAUAAGAUUGACAAUGCUAUUGAAGCACGAGGCAUCAAAACGUGGUUUCUAAGGAAAUUCUUUAGGACUUCUUUCUCACAGGAAGUCCAAAUAUCAUCUUCGGAGAAGUUUGACAUUUACCAGAAACAAUUCAAGUUGUAAUUUAUCAAACAUUUUUUGGAUUGAGCAGUAUUGUUUGUAUUAAUUUCAUUAUCAUGGGAUUCAUUAGUCUCUUGCUGUGGUUAUGAUCUACAAGUGAAGCUUUUUUAUUUGAAUAGGAAAUUGGGGGUGUGAGACUCUCAACCUUGUUUUGCUAGAUGAGUGAUAUGCUUUUAACCACUGAAUUAAAUCAGGUUAGGCAAAACUUAUGAUGGAACAUUUCUUUCUCCUCAUAAUAUAUGGGACUCACUCUCCU